GACAGAGGGUGCAAACGUUGCUCGGAAUUACUGGGCGUAAAGCGCGUGUAGGUGGAUUGGUGUGUCAGAUGUGAAAUCCCUGGGCUCAACCCAGGAACUGCACCUGAAACUACCAGUCUUGAGUGGUGGAGAGGGAAGUGGAGUUCCUGGUGUAGAGGUGAAAUUCGUAGAUAUCAGGAGGAACACCAGUGGCGAAGGCGGCUUCCUGGACACCAACUGACGCUGAGACGCGAAAGCGUGGGGAGCAAACAGG
This 253-nucleotide ribosomal RNA is filed under the name uncultured bacterium. Its description in RNAcentral is "partial 16S ribosomal RNA". It matches the Rfam family "Bacterial small subunit ribosomal RNA", at positions 524 to 776 of the family's 1533-position model. The record is from RNAcentral.